RNAcentral lists this ribosomal RNA (254 nucleotides) under uncultured bacterium. RNAcentral's name for it is "partial 16S ribosomal RNA". It matches the Rfam family "Bacterial small subunit ribosomal RNA", at positions 524 to 777 of the family's 1533-position model. The record is from RNAcentral.
GACGUAGGAUGCGAGCGUUGUCCGGAUUUAUUGGGCGUAAAGAGUUCGUAGGUGGUUCGUUAAGUCUGAUGUUAAAGACUGGGGCUCAACCCUGGGAGUGCAUUGGAUACUGGCGGACUGGAGUGCAGUAGAGGCAAGCGGAAUUCCAGGUGUAGCGGUGAAAUGCGUAGAUAUCGGAAGGAACACCGGUGGCGAAAGCGGCGCGCUGGAUCCCUACUGACGCUGAGGCACGAAAGCCAGGGGAGCAAACGGGG